RNAcentral lists this ribosomal RNA (504 nucleotides) under uncultured bacterium. RNAcentral's name for it is "bacterial SSU rRNA". It matches the Rfam family "Bacterial small subunit ribosomal RNA", at positions 903 to 1397 of the family's 1533-position model. The record is from RNAcentral.
AAAGGAAUUGACGGGGGCCCGCACAAGCGGUGGAGCAUGUGGUUUAAUUCGAUGCAACGCGAAGAACCUUACCGGGGCUUGACAUCCUACGAACCCUGUGGAAACACAGGGGUGUCUUUGGGAAUCCAAAGGAGCGUAGAGACAGGUGGUGCAUGGUUGUCGUCAGCUCGUGUCGUGAGAUGUUGGGUUAAGUCCCGCAACGAGCGCAACCCUUGCUGUUAGUUGCUAACGGGUAGAGCCGAGCACUCUAGCAGGACUGCCGGUGACAAACCGGAGGAAGGUGGGGAUGACGUCAAAUCAUCAUGCCCUUUAUGUCCCGGGCUACACACGUGCUACAAUGGCCGGUACAGAGAGAAGCUAAGCCGCGAGGUGGCGCCAAUCUCCAAAGCCGGUCCCAGUUCGGAUUGCAGGCUGCAACUCGCCUGCAUGAAGUCGGAAUCGCUAGUAAUCGCGAAUCAGAACGUCGCGGUGAAUGCGUUCCCGGGCCUUGUACACACCGCCCGU